UCUAUACGACUUUAUUAAGGUGGCAGAGCACGGUAAUUGCAAAAGACUUAAGCCCUUAACACCGAGAGUUCAAACCCCUCCCUUAAUU
This 88-nucleotide transfer RNA is filed under the name Dendrotriton bromeliacius (Volcan Tajumulco bromelidad salamander). RNAcentral describes it as "tRNA-Leu". The stretch from base 14 to 88 matches the Rfam family "tRNA". From Rfam's summary of the family: Transfer RNA (tRNA) molecules are approximately 80 nucleotides in length. Their secondary structure includes four short double-helical elements and three loops (D, anti-codon, and T loops). Lineage: Eukaryota; Metazoa; Chordata; Amphibia; Caudata; Plethodontidae. The record is from RNAcentral.